UACGAAGGGGGCUAGCGUUGUUCGGAAUUACUGGGCGUAAAGCGUGCGUAGGCGGCUAUCUAAGUCGGGUGUGAAAGCCCCGGGCUCAACCUGGGAAUUGCAUUCGAGACUGAAUAGCUAGGGUACGGUAGAGGGAAGCGGAAUUUCCGGUGUAGCGGUGAAAUGCGUAGAUAUCGGAAGGAACAUCAGUGGCGAAAGCGGCUUCCUGGACCCGUACCGACGUUCAGGCACGAAAGCGUGGGGAGCAAACAGG
Molecule: ribosomal RNA, 253 nt
Filed under: uncultured bacterium
Lineage: Bacteria
Description: partial 16S ribosomal RNA
Rfam family: Bacterial small subunit ribosomal RNA
Source: RNAcentral